This 72-nucleotide transfer RNA is filed under the name bacterium. RNAcentral describes it as "tRNA-Arg". It matches the Rfam family "tRNA". From Rfam's summary of the family: Transfer RNA (tRNA) molecules are approximately 80 nucleotides in length. The record is from RNAcentral.
GCUCUCGUAGUUCAAUGGAUAGAAUGCAUCUUUGCGGAAGAUGUGAUCUAGGUUCGAUUCCUAGCGAGAGCA